Long non-coding RNA from Corvus hawaiiensis (hawaiian crow), 2226 nucleotides. RefSeq lists it as uncharacterized. The transcript has 2 exons. NCBI's taxonomy places the organism in Eukaryota, Metazoa, Chordata, Aves, Passeriformes, Corvidae. The record is from RefSeq and is a predicted model, not a curated record.
UGUGGCAGCGCUGUUGUGGGUGAGGCUGCUGUGUCGGGAACCAGCUCUGCAGGCUGCUGAAGGCCUCUGUAAUUUGUCCUGAUGCACGUUGACCACAUCCCUGCUGUCGUCCGCAAAUAAAAGGAUUAGUCUCUUGCCAGGUGGUUUUACCUGUGCUUUGAAUUAACCUCUUCGUUUGUAUUAACAGAACCUGACACGCACAGUGAGUGCUUCUGGUAAAGAGGGAGGUGUGUGUGGUGUGCAGCCGAUAAGUAACAGUGGUUAAUAAUUGUUUUGUUAACUGACAGUGUAAAAGCCAUUGCCACGGGCCUCAUCGACGCCAUAUGCACAACAGGCAGAGCGCCCAUGGAGAGCAAGGUCUCCCAGGCCCAUAUCCCUUCGCUGAAGACCCCAGCAGCUGUGAUAUUGUCACGGCUACACGUGUUACACAAGUACAUGUUCUGAGGGUGCAAAGUGUUGCAAGAGAUGGGAGUGUCCUCAGAUGUGAGCCAGGCUGGAUAUUUUUACAAAGGAAACAUUGUCCGUUUCAUUUUCUCCCUGUAGUUGUGCUAAACAGCUAUUAUAGCAUUGGCUUUUGCGGGUAGUGAAAUGUAAGAAAUAUUAUGUAUUAGAAUAUGUUAGGAAAUAUUAUGUGUCAACAUGUUAAGAAUAACUUUGUUAUGCAGAUAAUAACUAGUUAAUGUUAUAACUGGGGUCAAAGUUACAAGAUACUCAUAUAGCUUGAUUUAUAAGAUAUCUAUAUCAUCUGAAUCAUAACUUUUUAUACCUAUAUAAUUUGAAUGAUAACUUUUUUAUACAAUGUAAUAGCGAGUGUAUGGUUAAUUCAUCGCUUAAUGCUCAAAUAAACGGAAACUCGCCAAGUGAAUAAUUGCAAAAACAGACAAGUAUAGCUGGAUAAAGGAAGCAGCAGGAUGUACUAAUGAGAAGUUGGCAACAGUGAAACCAAUUAGCCACAAAGUACAGAAUUUAAACCGGUUGGAUCCAGAAAGACCCAGGAACACCAUAACUGAGCAUGCUCUAAAGGCAAAGUUGAAAAGUUCAAGAUAUGAGGAGGACGGGAGCCUUCAUCGGAGAGGACCCCUGAGGACCCUCAUGAUCAUCUACGCAUGCUCUGAAAGGCGGGUCGGGGGAGGAACUAUGUUAAUCCCUUCUAAAAAAAUGUAUGGAAUGGCAGAACUGGUAGAAGCAGGAUACGAUGUUCGCCAACCAGACAAAGAAAACGUGACUCUUCUUCAGUGGGCAGCAACAAACAGCAGACAGGAGGAGCUGGUGAAGUAAGCCGGGAGUCCCUGUGACAGUAACGCAGCGUAUUCUGCCACUGUUACCUAUAAUCGCUUUGUUGCUUUUGUACUGGAAAAGGAACACGGUGCCUGAGAAGAAAAGGGUAGAAUUCAAAUUUUGAUGCACUUAGCUUUGUGUCGAUGUCACUGGAAUGUAAAGACAGCACGGUUUCUUUAGAUGUGAAAUCAUGUAUUGCAUGAAACCAUUAGAUUUUUCAUGGGUUUGUUUCUGUAACAAAGAUGAAAGCUGAUUUUAGAAGUACCUUGCUAAAGACUAUAUUUUUUCUUCAACAUUUUCUUGAAACAGUGUCAUUUACUGCAAAAGCACUUCUGUCCAUUUGCUUCUCUAGUGAAUUUUUUACUAGGAGUCAUUUACUUCUUUAGCUGUGUUAUCAUUCGUAUCAUGUUUUGCUAUUUUGUCUGUUCCUGACCUUCCUGUGUUGUUAUUACACAGAUAUUACAUUUCCAAAGGUGCGUAGUGGAUCAGCUUGGUGGAGAUUUGAAUUCUGCGCCCCUGCACUGGGCCAUUAGGUAAUGCUGCUUGCAACCACUAGUUGCAAAUCUCUCGGUAUUGACAGCUGUGGUAGCGUUUUCUGAGAUACGCAGAACAAAGCACUGCUUGGCUGGAGAAAACAUAUGCUGAAAUAAUUCUUCUGGGAAAACUUGUCCGAGUGCAAAUUCUCCCAUUGGAAGAUCAGUGUUUUCUUCUGGAUGAUCAGUCUUUUGCCAGAGUCAGAGACUUGGAUGACUGCUCAGAGGAGAAACUACUGUAGAAUAACCUCUGUAUUCUAAAUGAACACUUUGCCCUAGGCUCAUUCAUUAAGGUAUAUAUUUAAUAUAAUUUGCUGAAAAAGCCAUGAGAAUCUGAGGGAAAACUGGUUUUUGUGUGGUCUCUAUGAGAACUAUAAGGGCAAUGCUUUCAAUAAAAUAUCAGGUUUUUAAAUCA